GACGAACGCUGGCGGCGUGCUUAACACAUGCAAGUCGAACGAAGUGGCGAACGGGUGAGUAAUACGUGGGUAACCUGCCUUCCUUUUAGUGAUAAGCCUUGGAAACGGGGUCUAAUACCUAAUAAAGGGGGAUGGGCUCGCGGCCUAUUAGCUUGUUGGUGGGGUGAUGGCCUACCAAGUCGGUGCGGGGUAGCCGGCCUGGGAGGGUGGGCGGCCACAUUGGGACGGAAAUGAGGCCCAGACCCCGACGGGAGGCGGCAGUGGGGAAUGUUGCACAAUGGAGGCAAGCCUAGUGCAACCAAGCCGCGUGGAGUGAAAAGGGCUGGGGGUUGUAGAGUACUUUCAGCUGUGAGGCGUUACCCGCUGAAGAAGCACCGGCUAACUCCGUGCCAGCAGCCGCGGUAAUUC
RNAcentral lists this ribosomal RNA (408 nucleotides) under uncultured bacterium. RNAcentral's name for it is "partial 16S ribosomal RNA". It matches the Rfam family "Bacterial small subunit ribosomal RNA", at positions 28 to 526 of the family's 1533-position model. The record is from RNAcentral.